AUUUGUCUGUAUGUUUCUGUUUCCUCAGAAUACAGAGAUUCAGAGACUCCUGCAGAAAGCCUGUGCUGACGCUCCAGACGUUCAUCCGGUCAAAACACACUCCAGAGGAACAGAGGGCAUUGUGGUUCAAAGAGUUAAACGACAUGAGAGUCCCAGCAGUGGCAGAAAAGACGCAGACCUCACAAAACAAAGGAGUCAGAAGAGGACAGACAGAGCAGCGACCACCAUAGGAGUAUUAGACCAGGUACCAUUCUCCAGAUAUCUGUCUUAUUUAUUUAUCUGUUUGUUUAUUUA
This 294-nucleotide long non-coding RNA is filed under the name Sinocyclocheilus anshuiensis. Its description in RNAcentral is "lncRNA (ENSSANG00000006723.1)". The record is from RNAcentral. Lineage: Eukaryota; Metazoa; Chordata; Actinopteri; Cypriniformes; Cyprinidae.